RNAcentral lists this ribosomal RNA (370 nucleotides) under uncultured eukaryote. RNAcentral describes it as "partial 18S ribosomal RNA". It matches the Rfam family "Eukaryotic small subunit ribosomal RNA", at positions 592 to 976 of the family's 1831-position model. The record is from RNAcentral.
CAAUAGCGUAUAUUAAAGUUGUUGCAGUUAAAAAGCUCGUAGUUGGAUUUCUGGUCGGAAGCUCCUGUCCUCUGAUGAGCGUACAAGUGUGUCCUACCAUCCUUCUGUUAACCUUUAAGGCUUUCGCGGCUUUCUAGGGGCUCAGAUAUUUUACCUUGAGAAAAUUAGAGUGUUUCAGGCAGGCUAGCGCCGGAAUACAUUAGCAUGGAAUAAUGGAAUAGGACUUUUGCCUCUUCUGUUGGUCAUGAGGCUCGAGUAAUGAUUAAUAGGGAUAGUUGGGGGCAUUAGUACUUAACUGUCAGAGGUGAAAUUCUCGGAUUUGUUAAAGACUAACUUAUGCGAAAGCAUUUGCCAAGGAUGUUUNCAUUAA